Non-coding RNA from Oryctolagus cuniculus (rabbit), 682 nucleotides. NCBI's taxonomy places the organism in Eukaryota, Metazoa, Chordata, Mammalia, Lagomorpha, Leporidae. The record is from RefSeq and is a predicted model, not a curated record.
CAACACUGCCCGCUCCAGAGUCCAGCCCCAUCUGACUCCUCCCCCUUGCCAAGCACAAACCCACAGGUGCCAUGUUCACUGAGGCGGCACGUGGGAAGGCCAUGGUUUUCAAGAGACCCAGGUCGAUGCUGCAGAAGUGACGUUUAGGGGGACAGGUGGGACCCGAGGAGUUCCGGCGCGGCUGCCAGAGCACGUGACACAGCCAUUGUGACUGUGAGUUCACGGCAGUGAGCGUUCAUCACAGGGAAGGUGUCAGAGGAAGCUCCAGGCCGGGGAGGGAGCAGACAGGGGACAGCAGAACGGAGGCAGCGACAGCGUCGGGAACGAGUUGCAGGGAGACUGGGGACAUGACGCCGUCGGGAGGAAAGGCCGUCCACUCGGACAGGGCUGCCGCAGUGCGGGACUGUGCAAGUAGGCAGCCGAGGCUUACCGACUGACGUCCGGCUGUGAGAGAACUGAGCCAUCUGUGUGCACCGAAAGGAGGACACUGAAGUCCGAAUCCCCGGAGAGACCAAAUUUGGACUUGAGUCCGCAAGCUCACAUGCUUCAGUGACUAUGGACACACAGGAAGGACCACAUCAACAAGAGCUCUUUGGAUCCAGUGCUCUGGCAUAAAACUGUGGGUAAAGCUGCUGCCUGCAGUGCCUGCAUCCCAAGUGGGCGCUGGUUUGAGUCCCGGCUG